RNAcentral lists this ribosomal RNA (440 nucleotides) under uncultured bacterium. RNAcentral's name for it is "partial 16S ribosomal RNA". It matches the Rfam family "Bacterial small subunit ribosomal RNA", at positions 338 to 795 of the family's 1533-position model. The record is from RNAcentral.
CCUACGGGUGGCAGCAGUGGGGAAUAUUGCACAAUGGGGGAAACCCUGAUGCAGCGACGCCGCGUGAGUGAAGAAGUAUUUCGGUAUGUAAAGCUCUAUUAGCAGGGAAGAAAAUGACGGUACCUGAUGAAGAAGCCCCGGCUAACUACGUUCCAGCAGCCGCGGUAAUACGCAGGUGGCAAGCGUUAUCCGGAUUUACUGGGUGUAAAGGGAGCGUAGACGGCAGCACAAGUCUGGAGUGAAAUGCCGGGGCUUAACCCCGGAACUGCUUUGGAAACUGUGCAGCUAGAGUGCAGGAGAGGUAGGUGGAAUUCGUAGUGUAGCGGUGAAAUGCGUAGAUAUUACGAGGAACACCAGUGGCGAAGGCGGCUUACUGGACUGUAACUGACGUUGAGGCUCGAAAGCGUGGGGAGCGAACAGGAUUAGAUACCCCAGUAGUC